ACUCCGGGGCUGCCGGCAAGACUGUCGGACUCGAGCACGGUAGAGGCAGAUGGAAUUCCCGGUGUAGCGGUGGAAUGCGUAGAUAUCGGGAAGAAUACCAGUGGCGAAGGCGUUCUGCUGGGCCGUUGCUGACGCUGAGGCGCGACAGCGUGGGGAGCAAACAGGAUUAGAUACCCUGGUAGUCCACGCCGUAAACGAUGGACACUAGGCGUCGGGGGGAGCGACCCUCCCGGUGCCGUCGCUAACGCAGUAAGUGUCCCGCCUGGGGAGUACGGCCGCAAGGCUGAAACUCAAAGGAAUUGACGGGGGCCCGCACAAGCAGUGGAGCAUGUGGUUUAAUUCGAAGCAACGCGAAGAACCUUACCUGGGCUUGACAUGCUGGUGAAAGCCGGUGGAAACAUCGGCCCCUCUU
This 412-nucleotide ribosomal RNA is filed under the name uncultured bacterium. Its description in RNAcentral is "bacterial SSU rRNA". It matches the Rfam family "Bacterial small subunit ribosomal RNA", at positions 612 to 1020 of the family's 1533-position model. The record is from RNAcentral.